GAUGAACGCUAGCGACAGGCCUAACACAUGCAAGUCGAGGGGCAGCAUGGUAUCAGCUUGCUGAUACCGAUGGCGACCGGCGCACGGGUGAGUAACGCGUAUGUAAUCUGCCUGUAACAGAGGGAUAACCCGGAGAAAUCCGGCCUAAUACCUCAUAGCACAUAUUAUUCGCAUGAGUUUUAUGUUAAAGAGACUCGGUUACAGAUGAACAUGCGUUCCAUUAGCUGGUUGGUGAGGUAACGGCCCACCAAGGCGACGAUCAGUAGCCGACCUGAGAGGGUGACCGGCCACAUUGGGACUGAGACACGGUCCAAACUCCUACGGGAGGCAGCAGUGGGGAAUAUUGCACAAUGGGGGAAACCCUGAUGCAGCGACGCCGCGUGAGCGAAGAGUAUUUCGGUAUGUAAAGCUCUAUCAGCAGGGAAGAAGAAAUGACGGUACCUGACUAAGAAGCACCGGCUAAAUACGUGCCAG
Molecule: ribosomal RNA, 474 nt
Filed under: uncultured bacterium
Lineage: Bacteria
Description: bacterial SSU rRNA
Rfam family: Bacterial small subunit ribosomal RNA
Source: RNAcentral